Molecule: non-coding RNA, 297 nt
Organism: Vicia faba (fava bean)
Lineage: Eukaryota; Viridiplantae; Streptophyta; Magnoliopsida; Fabales; Fabaceae
Source: the annotation of a GenBank genome assembly
AUGAGAAGGUUGCAUGGGAUUGGAAUAAGAGGUACAAAUUGCAUUGGGAGGUGCAAAAAGGAUUUGCUAUUCGUAGGCAUCUUGCUUGAUGAAGAUUAUGAGGCAAAAGUUGCUGAAUUUGGUGUUGCAAGGUUGACUGAAAAUUCUCAGAUGGGUUAUAGCUUUUUUGUUGGUACCCAUGUGGGGGCACCAAGACCAACUUCAAGCAUGACGGGUUGGUUCGCUUUGAUGGGCCAGGGGGUGUUGGGUACUGUUUAUGUUCUUAGAGUUCUUAGGUUCAAACUUCACAAGCCAUGA